CCUAAUUGAACACUUUCUUCCUCACCCUUGUGCACCCACUGUCGCUCAUUUUCCCUCUCCCACACCGCUGCUACUGCCGCUACAACACUUCGCCGCAGACUUCGAAGCAAUCCGCCGUCGUCGUCGCCGUCUCGACCGACGACAUCAGCCAUUAUUCAGCCAAAUCCGACGGCACAGCCAUCGCCCAAUCCCCCCUAUUCCGCUCCUCAUCCCUCUUCCACACCAGCGCCGCCGCUUCCUACUCCACAGCAAUCUGCCGCCACCGUCGCAGCCGACAAAUCAACAACUGUUGAGACAAAGUCGAGCCACCACCCAAGUCCCUCUUCUCUCACUAUUCCUCCCUCUUCCAAAUCGCCGCCACCGCCACUGCACUUAGCAGUCGACACUGGUACAAUCUGCCAUCCAUU
This 407-nucleotide long non-coding RNA is filed under the name Erythranthe guttata (spotted monkey flower). Its description in RNAcentral is "long non-coding RNA (EGUT_LNC002889)". Lineage: Eukaryota; Viridiplantae; Streptophyta; Magnoliopsida; Lamiales; Phrymaceae. The record is from RNAcentral.